RNAcentral lists this ribosomal RNA (130 nucleotides) under Rickettsiales bacterium. RNAcentral describes it as "partial 16S ribosomal RNA". It matches the Rfam family "Bacterial small subunit ribosomal RNA", at positions 1293 to 1422 of the family's 1533-position model. The record is from RNAcentral. Lineage: Bacteria; Pseudomonadati; Pseudomonadota; Alphaproteobacteria; Rickettsiales.
UCUGAUUGUUCUUUGAAACUCAAGAGCAUGAAGCUGGAAUCCCUAGUAAUCGUAGAUCAUCACGCUACGGUGAAUCUGUAUCCAAGUCUAGUACACACCGCCCGUCACGCUAUGGAAAUUGGUAUAGCCG